Non-coding RNA from Equus caballus (horse), 4617 nucleotides. Lineage: Eukaryota; Metazoa; Chordata; Mammalia; Perissodactyla; Equidae. The record is from RefSeq and is a predicted model, not a curated record.
AAUGUUGAGAAAUAUAAGCUUUCCUGCUAAUGAUGAACAAGAAAUAGCAAGUAUUCUGAAUGCCUUAAUGUGACACUUGUGCUCCAAAGGUGGAAGUGGUUGCCUGCUGAUAUUGAUAGUCACAGACAAUGACAUCAAUGAUGGAAUAAGCUCUAGUAAUCAAUGCUUUAAGCAAAGUAUGAGAGUUCCAUGGGGUGUAGGGCCAUCCACAUCUGUGACCAUUCAGGGAUCUGCUACAUAUGGGAAAGUUUUAGGGCUCCAGUAUUCUGGGGCAUGCUGGGUACACUCUCCAGAGUAAAGGACAAGUUCCUGCAAGUGUACCUCCAUCCAGCCCACGUUAGAUGGAUGAAAGCUGUUUUGUGGAGCCUCUGAUAGAAGCUACUAAGAUAAUUCCAUGUAGAUUCCUAGGGCUCUGGAGCAAGGCAAUGCCUUUUAUAGCAACAUAAAAGGAGCUCAUGACAUGCUCCUAGGUCUCAGGAGAGACAGAGUGUGUGAACAUGGGACAUAGUGUGACCAGAAAGCAGAAUGCUUCAUCAUGACCUGGGUUCUAUCACAACCACCAACAUAAGGUCAGGUGGGGAGAGCAGAUGCAUCAGAAAUGGAAGUGGUACACACUGGAUUAGAUGAGGACAAGUACCCAGACCAUCAUGGCACUCCUCACUGACACCUGUCACCAGCUCUCACCUAUUGGCUCACAGGAAGUUCACUCUGAUUAGUCAACAAAGAGGAAAAGGCUCUACACACUCCAACUUCAUUCUGCCCCCAAUCCAUACCCUCAUAUCUGCCACUCCCUUACCUGUCCCCAGGCUCCCAUUUAUCCUUACACACACACAAAUCCCCUGAGGACAUGGCUCACUUGUUGACUCAGCUGAAGCAGGUCUCAGUGUACAAGGAUGAGAUAUGGCUUUUCUACAGUGCUCCCAGGCUUUGAGAGCAACCUGAACAUGUCUCAACAAGUCAUAACAGGAGACGAGAAAACUCUGGCUCUCAAUUUCGUCCUCACUGCCACCCUGGCCCUGCUUUUUAUCACCUUCCCCCAGGCUCCAUUCCAGAUCCCUUUUCUAGUCUGACUACCUCAUGGUCAAACUCCCUUCUUGAUUUGAUUCCCCAGAUGCCCUUAGCACAAGUCUUCUGUGCUCAUGGUGUCCUAUGUCCUCUAAUCUUUCAUCGCAUUCCAAAUUCUUAGCCCCCACUGGAUGCUCAGCUCCCUCUCUCCAUUCUCCUCUGUCUCAUGUCUCCUUCAGCCUGUACAUCUGACAGUCCCUCUUGUCCCCAGUAUGAGGGCAUGAAUCUGAGUCUUCGAGAAAUCUUAUCCUUUUCCCCAACCCUAUGUCUCACCCCUCACACUCAUCCAAGUUGGGAAGGAUGGCACCCUCAACUUCACUGCACCAGCUCCAGUUGCUUCCCCCAAAAAGGUAGAACAGCCUCUCAUUCUGAAAACUCACCCUAUCCUAGGGUGCCCAAAAUAUCCCUCUUGCGUGGUCCCACUAGAUCCCAGAUCAUGCCUAAUACCCCAAAACCCCAUGCAGGUGUUACUGCUUCUCAUACAGAUUCUGUGUACACCCCAUGCCUCCAUGCAACCCCUCUAUGUCCAUCUCUGCUUACCCACAGUCCACACCACCAUUGGUCUCCAAGGAUACAGCCAAAUAGCCCAGACACAAAAAUGAGCAGGAAAAGAAACAGAACCAGAAUGUAGAUUCUAUUUAGCAUUUCCCAGGUUUUGUCUGUGGACUCUCCUUAUAAUAGGCACGUGGAGUUUGUAAAAAUAACAAAGAAAGCAAGGAAAUGAGGACGUAGAUGUCUGGCCUGAGCCCGAGGCUGGAGAGGACCCCAGACAGGAUGGUCCUGUGUGGAUGUGGGUGUCACUGAUCUGGCAGGACCUGCUUGUCUACUGGAGGUGUUGCAUUUUAAAAGACAGAAUAUCUUUAGAAAUCUUCAUGAUCUUUUCCCUUGAAGACAAGAUGAAAAGGUGUGUGGAAUGAGGACACUGUUGGAGUUACAACCAGUGUGGUGAGCCUCCUUCCUUGUCUCUAUCAAGCCAUUGGAUGUUACCUCACAAUACUUCCCAGAUCUUGGGGACAAAGGCCAGGUAGAAGCCAAACUGGGACCACAGAAGGUUUUGGGCAGUAGGGUCAUCUGCUGUGGAUGCCAAGUCAUAAAGGAGGGAGGUCAUAAAGUUUGGAAAUGUUCAUUUGGAGGAUUGUAGCCAGAUAAGGAAAGAAAUUUGAGGAUUUGAAAACAUGAUAAGGAUUGACACUGUGUGCAGGAUGACAGGAUCAGCUAAUUACAGGGUGUAAUAUCCUGUGUCCUCCUGGGUGGCAUUCUGGAACAGCAAGGAUCCAUCAGCGUAUAUUUUCUGUCGACCAUUGUAUCCAGGCCCUGAAGUAAUUUUUGAUACCUUCUACCCAUCUGAGGCCCCAGCCUUCACCCCCAGUCUCCUGUCAACCUUCAGGACAGCCUCUGAGCUGAACGCCCCAGGGACAUCCUGUGGGUCAUUUGCACUCCUUGCUCUGCUCCUGAUGCUGCCUGGUGCUGUCUGAGAUCCUGUAGGUUCCCUGAGGUGUGUGUGUAUGAUGGGCCCCUACACAAUGUGAAAUCUCAAGGUGAGAGAAUUUGAUUGUCAUGUCACAAGUAUUUAUUUUAAAUGAAAAGAUUCAUGGUUAGGACUUCUACGUCUAAUAAAUGAGGGCUCAUGUUGCAGAUUGGAUCACUCUUAAUCUUCCUGUUUCCUGAUGUUAGAAUGACACAUUCAUGCCCUUUACCUACACAUUGCAGCUCUUCUCACUAGAAGGAGACGAAAUCCCACCCCAGCCCCAUUUAUCUCAGGCUCGCCCAUAAGCACAUUGAGUCCAGGGAUUUUCAAAAAGCUCCCCAGAUAAUCCCCAAGAAAUCUGAGAAUAUGAGAAACAUUUCCCUAAAUAGUGUAAUUUGUGAGAUUCCAUAAGAGAUUGCUGCCAUAUUGUAGGUUACAGAGAUUUGCAAAUGGUGUCUCCUUAUCCUAAUCUAUAAAACUAAACCAAAAUACUCAAGAAAUUAUAUAAUCAGUUAUGUAGGAGUACCAGGAGUCUUAGAGAUAAAAAUAUUACCUGUGGCUCUAAACCUCUCUCAAAAAAUAGCAGAAAACAAUAAUUGGGAAGUUACUCUUCCCCAUUCUCCCACACUGGGCACUUCAGACCAGCAUGUAUCACAGACUCCAUCACUGUUUGGGCAGCCAGAUCAACAACUCACCUGCAUUUUGGACUAAAGUUAGGACCCAGCCCUGAAAGCUGUUGGAACAAGCACUGCAAAUGAUGAUGGCAAGACUGGCAUGUAUAAAUAGCUACACCAAAGGGAGUCUUCCUGGAAAAGGUACUCAGAAGAUUUUAGUCUUCAUGAUCUUGCAAAAAGAUUAAUGGAAAUUUGGAUCUAGUCCAGUGAAUGAAAGGACCUGGAGACCCACCCUCCCUAUUCACCCACACCCACACCAGCAUCCCCUCAAAACCAGAAAUGGCCGGUGUGCAUGAAGCAUGGGGGCAGGUCAUGCAGGGCCUUUGGGGCCACAGGAAGGAGUUUGUGCCGUAGUCUGAGUGUGGUAGGAAGUCACUGAAGGGUUUUUGUAUUUGCUGUUUGAUUUGUUUUCUGAUAGUGACAGAUGUUUCCUCACAGCCCUCAGAAGGAACCAACCCUGUUGACAGCUUGAUCUCAGACUUCAGUAUCCAGGACUGUAAGAUAAAAAAUUUCCUUUUGUUCUAAGUCACUUGGUUUGUGGGACUUUGUCAUGGCAGCCAUAGCAAACUAAUACACUACACUUAAAAAGUAAGAAUAAACAGAUGAACUUAAUUUAAUUUAAUUUAGUUAUCUUUUAUUUUAUCCCAAAUGAUAUACUUUUGAUAUUUAAUCAAUAUAAAUUUAUUAAUGAGGUAUUUCAUCUAAACAUGCAUCUUGGGAAGAUACUUUCUUCAUCUUGCAAACCUGUUCUGGCUCUAAUUGGAACAUAAUAUCUGCUUUAAAGGGUUAAUCCCAGAGAAUUGGGAAAGCCAUAAGCCUUUAUAACUUUAAAAUCCAAAGUCUUUUACCCAAGUGUGAAAAAGAAUGUCUCUUUCUUUCUCUAUGUUGUAGGGUUUCAGACACUCUGGUCCCUGAAUUUUAGAUCCAAUUUUAUGAGCUUGAGCCUUUAUGACCUUUCUGGCGCUUUCAGGAACCCAUAGCAUCUGACACCUGAGGAGAGAAAGACCCACCACAGAAUUUGCAACAUUAUACUGAGCUACUGACAGAAAGUUCUCGUGGUUCUCCAGCAUGAUGUCUUUAUAUAAGUUUUUCUGAGAGGGUUUCAGGAUCCACAUCCAUGGCCACAUCCUUGAAGGCCAUGGCUCUCGCAAAUUUAAGCCCAUUCAUAAGUCACCUAUCAUCAACACCUAUGCCUCCUAGAUAAAGUUCUUGAGCACUGAUAAUAGAGGAGGGACCUGAAACAAAAUGUAUUGAUCAUUUCCUUCUGGAUAAAGAAUUUUGGGAAAAUUAUAUUUCUCAGCUGCUUUUGGUUUAAAAGAAAGGGGUCUGUGCCUGUUGCUUUAAAAUCUUCAGGAGAAAAGUAUGCUGAUUGUGUUCAGUUGGAUUAAAAUAAUGUUUUGUGUGUACUGA